CUUCGCUGUCCAAGGCAGACGCAGAAACGCCGCUUACAAGCCGUUUCCCAGAAGCCCCCGGAGCGGACUCCUUCCGGUCUGCAGGCCCGAGGAGGCGGAGAGAGGCAAAGCCCCGCGUUGCCAUGGAGAUGCACUCCAGGAUUGUGGACUUUAUUCUUCAAAAAUUAGGAGACCCAGAGGAAUUUGGCCAAGUGGGAAACAUAGUCUCAUCUCAAAACUCCAGUUUAAGGUCGCAGUGAAUUUGCAGAAUGCGUGAGCAUCUGACUUCAGCCUGGAUAUUUUGUGCCAAAAAACAGUUGUAGACAUAAUCAUUUAAAAAUGUAAGUCAGAACACUUCAUUCCCCUUUAAAGUCCUCCAAUGGAUCUCAGCUACCUUAAGUAUAACAUAAAAACUCCUAACAUUGACCUGCAAGAUCUUCUGUAGUUUGUUACCUCUCUGACCAAAGCUUUUCGGCUCAAUGUGGCCUAGGAGCUUCAGCCUCACUUUCCUUCUGGAAGCCUCCACAUCCUUCAUAGCACUAUUUAGAGGAAAGUACCCUCUGAAAAGUGCCCUUAGCCUGUCUCAGAUUUACGAAUAAAAGGGUAAGUGAGUGAGCAGCCAAUGGCAUAGCACUACUAUUCACUCUGACCACAGCUCAUCUUCCCAUAACCCCUGCUAACUGUCUUGUAGGAGGCUGCAGAAAUCCAGCUUUUUAACUCUCCUUCUUGGCUACUGUCUCCAUCCAGCUUGGCUGCACUUUCCAACCUUUCCUUCUUUUGUGACUAUGCAAGAUAUUUUUAUUCUGUUUUGUUUUACUUUGUUUUUACAUAUGAUUAACAUUGGAAAGCAAAAGUAUAAAUAUCAAAUAAAAAUGUUUGCAGAAGCUAAAAGUAUUGCAAAAUUUUACAAAAGCCUUUCCUAAUUCUUUCUAAAAUAGUAAAUUGAAACCAGAAUGACGCUUUCUUCACUAAGUUACUCUUUUGAAGAUGGGGACCAACAACACCCACUUUGAAAUACCAUCCUUCUGAGCUCCAUUGUGUCAACUGUUUCCUGAAUGGUGGCCCUUGUUAACAUCUUAUAGCUCUAGUCAAGAUAGAGCAUUGUGUUCCUCUUGGCAGCCUGAGCAUAGGGAACAGCUCUCGAUACCAGUGCUGACAAAUCCACACAGGCCACCAAGGCAAGGCUUGAACCACAGCUAAUCUGAGUCUUGGCAAAGCACCCUGUGGUCAUGAGAGCCUGAGAGGCUUGUGAGAAGCUACUACAAGGCCAUUUCCCUCUCAGCUCCCUGUCUUUCAAGGAGACUGUUAGGAGGCCAUUUCUUAUGCUUCCUGGGUUCUAGUGAGUCUUCUGUCUCACCCUCUAACAGUACAGUGGUAGGCUAUUAAAUGUUUAACUGCAACAGCAUUUGCCCUUCAGCAACAAAGUUUCCGUAACUCAUUUUGCCCACUUUAUUUUGCUGUCAUCAUUUGAGUUCAUGAGACAGAAGCUCAGGGAGGACUGGCACCUUUGACUACUUUUGCUUCCAUUGUCUAUAUAAUAAUCUAAGUCUAAAAAUGCUCAUUUCUUUACCACUAAAUCUUUUAACCUUGCCAGGUCUUGAUACCAAACAUCUCAUUCAUUCAUUAAUGAUAAAUCAAACAAACAAAAAAGUUAGAUACUACCUGGUUGCCAGAGAGUUAGAAAUAAAGAAAAUGAGUUAUGAUUCUUUCUUUGAACAUGACCAUCUUGUUCAGGAGAUAGACAAGAAAACAAAUAUCUACAAGGCAGUGUAGAAGUGUGACAAUAGAGAAGAACAGAAUACCAGGGGUGCUUUCAUAUAAGUUAUUAUGCCCAGAAAAGGCAGACACCCUGAGAUAGUGGAGGGGAAACAAGAAAAGUUUUCCCAUUGUUAGGAAAGCACAGAUCUUCUGGUUUGGUGUUAUCAGAUUCUACCCAAAACAAUCUUUCCUUGGCUUUUCUCUAAAAAUUAAUUUGGAACUCUCAAUCUUUCAGCUGGGCAUUUUAAGUACUCUUGUGGUGGAGAAACCAAACCUGAUUAAAAUGGAAUUAUAUGAACAUUAUAAUAAAGAAUCAGUGCCUGGGGAAAGGGUUAAUUUCUCCCCCAACCCUAAACCAGCUUCUCUGCAGGGAACCUAAUUAACCUUGGGUCCCUAUCUAUUGGGUUGUAAAUAGCUAUAGGUAGGAAGCCUGAGGACUCUCUCUUGAUAUGUAAACAUCCCUGUGACAAGCUUCAAGACCAGAGACAAUGGAUACCUGUGAAGUUUCUUCUUAAGCUUUGUAAACCUUUUAGGAGUAUAGCUACAUCAAUUAAUUACUAUUAUAAAUUAAUUUAUAAUAGUAUAAAUUUAUAAAUUUUAAGUCACCAUGACAGUUAACUGCUGUCUAAACUGUAACUUUAGUUUUUAGAAUUAUAGCUCUUGGGCUGGGAUUGUGGCUCAGUGGUGGAGCACUCCCCUAGCAUGGGCGGGACCCGGGUUUGAUCCUCAGCACCACAUAAAAAAAAUAAAGACAUUGUGUUGUGUCCAUCUACACCUAAAAAAUAAAUAUUUUUAAAAAGAGAAUACCCUGGAAAAAUAGGGUCCUCUUUUAAAAUAUCUAUAUUCUAUAUCUAUAUCUAUCUUAGGGAGAUAAACUCAAGUCAUCUUUAGUUAUUGUGACCUGUGGAAAAGGACACUUCAUGAUAACACAAAUGUUUUACUGUCUCUGUCCUGCACCUGUGAACUACUUAUCAUAAAAUUUCUGCAUAAGAUCCUUCAUCAUGAAAGUCAAGAAUUAUAACCUACCAUUGUUGUAAUGGUUAAGGAAUGAUGCCGAAUUUCCUAUAAAGAGCCCAUGUGACCUAGCUCAAGGCCCAGAACUUCAUAGCACUAGCUCAUCUGGGUCCAAUGGGACAUAAAUAAGCCUGGGUUCUCCAACCCUCCUAGUUGUGCUUGGUCUUUUGCUGAGUGCAGUUUCCAUAACAGUCUUCCAUUUGAGCCAAUAAGUGCAGUGAUGCCAGGAAUCUUUGGAUUACAAGUGAUUUGAAAACCCAACACUGGCAGACAUUAGCUUCCCACAUACAGCCCACCUCCUUACUUCUAGGACAUCCUGAUAUUUUGGAUUUAUGCAGGCAGGCAAUAAUAUGCCCAGCCAUAGGCAACAAUUGUGAUUAAGCUAAGAUAUUCGUAACCAUCCUUUUUCCUUUUGCUUUUCCACUUUGCCUUUCUGGCAGCUAAGAACAGCCAUAUUAUUUAGUUCUAGUCAAUGAAAUGUAUGAGGAAGUAGUUCUCUUCUUCCUAAAAAGUUAUCCAAUUCAUUUAAACUGUCAAAGUUGUUGGUAUAAAGUUGUUCACAUUUCCUUAACAUCCUUUUAAUGUCUGUAAGACCAAUAGUGUGCCCCCUCAUUUGUUCCUGAAAUUGGCAAUUUCUGUAGUUUCUGGUUUCCCUUUCUUGAUCAGCUUUGCUUAAGAUUUGUGAACUUUAUUGGUCUUUAUAGAAUUAACUUUUAGCUUUGUUUGUUUUUUUUGUGGAAUUUUGCUCUUUUAAAAAGAUAACAUACAGUAAAUUUGGGGUGUGUGUGUGUGUAUGUGUAUGUGUGAGUGUGUGUUUGGCAUCUAGUUCUAUGAGUUUUAAGACAUUCAUAGAAUUAUGAAAUUAUAAAUGAUACAAAAUAGUUCCAUCUCUAUAAAACUCUAGAAAGGAUAUCUGUUUAGGGUAUUCACACCUUUCCUAUGUCCCUAACCCAUGCCAGCCAAUGAUUUGCUAUCUAUCACAAUAGUUUUGACUUGUCCAGAUGUAAUAGAAAUGGAAUCAUAAAGUAUGAAAUCUCUUAAGACUGGUUUCUUUUAUUCAGCACAGUGCUUUUAAGAAUUAUCUUUAUUGUAUGAAUCAAUAUUUUAUUGCUGAUUACUAUCUACUUAUAUGCACUUAUCCAUUAUCUUAUAUUGCUUAUCCAUUCAACCCCAGAAGGACUUUUAGGUCAUUUCUGGAUUUUUGCAAUUAUGAAAUAAAGUCACUAUAAACACUG
Molecule: long non-coding RNA, 3986 nt
Organism: Ictidomys tridecemlineatus (thirteen-lined ground squirrel)
Lineage: Eukaryota; Metazoa; Chordata; Mammalia; Rodentia; Sciuridae
Source: RefSeq, a predicted model, not a curated record